Molecule: ribosomal RNA, 254 nt
Filed under: uncultured bacterium
Lineage: Bacteria
Description: partial 16S ribosomal RNA
Rfam family: Bacterial small subunit ribosomal RNA
Source: RNAcentral
UACGAAGGGGGCUAGCGUUGCUCGGAAUCACUGGGCGUAAAGGGUGCGUAGGCGGGUCUUUAAGGUCAGAGGUGAAAUCCUGGAGCUCAACUCCAGAACUGCCUUUGAUACUGAGGAUCUUGAGUUCGGGAGAGGUGAGUGGAACUGCGAGUGUAGAGGUGAAAUUCGUAGAUAUUCGCAAGAACACCAGUGGCGAAGGCGGCUCACUGGCCCGAUACUGACGCUGAGGCACGAAAGCGUGGGGAGCAAACAGG